RNAcentral lists this ribosomal RNA (749 nucleotides) under Acinetobacter rhizosphaerae. RNAcentral describes it as "bacterial SSU rRNA". It matches the Rfam family "Bacterial small subunit ribosomal RNA", at positions 92 to 836 of the family's 1533-position model. Lineage: Bacteria; Pseudomonadati; Pseudomonadota; Gammaproteobacteria; Moraxellales; Moraxellaceae. The record is from RNAcentral.
UUAGCGGCGGACGGGUGAGUAAUGCUUAGGAAUCUGCCUAUUAGUGGGGGACAACAUUUCGAAAGGAAUGCUAAUACCGCAUACGUCCUACGGGAGAAAGCAGGGGAUCUUCGGACCUUGCGCUAAUAGAUGAGCCUAAGUCGGAUUAGCUAGUUGGUGGGGUAAAGGCCUACCAAGGCGACGAUCUGUAGCGGGUCUGAGAGGAUGAUCCGCCACACUGGGACUGAGACACGGCCCAGACUCCUACGGGAGGCAGCAGUGGGGAAUAUUGGACAAUGGGCGCAAGCCUGAUCCAGCCAUGCCGCGUGUGUGAAGAAGGCCUUAUGGUUGUAAAGCACUUUAAGUGAGGAGGAGGCUACUUUAGUUAAUACCUAGAGAUAGUGGACGUUACUCGCAGAAUAAGCACCGGCUAACUCUGUGCCAGCAGCCGCGGUAAUACAGAGGGUGCAAGCGUUAAUCGGAUUUACUGGGCGUAAAGCGCGCGUAGGCGGCUAAUUAAGUCAAAUGUGAAAUCCCCGAGCUUAACUUGGGAAUUGCAUUCGAUACUGGUUAGCUAGAGUGUGGGAGAGGAUGGUAGAAUUCCAGGUGUAGCGGUGAAAUGCGUAGAGAUCUGGAGGAAUACCGAUGGCGAAGGCAGCCAUCUGGCCUAACACUGACGCUGAGGUGCGAAAGCAUGGGGAGCAAACAGGAUUAGAUACCCUGGUAGUCCAUGCCGUAAACGAUGUCUACUAGCCGUUGGGGCCUUUGAG